CGAUUCGCCCUUCGGGGCGCACCAGGCGCGAAAACUCCACACUGUUCGACAGUACGAUGGGGUUAUCUCGAGUGCAGUCCGAUAAGGGCUGCUUUUCCAUAGAGUAAUAUCCUGUGGGAAUAAGAGGGGGGCAAGACUGGUGUCAGCCGCCGCGGUAACACCAGCCCCUCGAGUGGUGGGGACUAUUAUUUGGUCUAAAGCGUCCGUAGCUGGCUGUAUCCGUCCCCCGUUAAAUCCAGCGUCCUAAGCGUUGGACUGCGGGUGAUACCAUACAGCUAGAGGGUGGGAUAGGUGAGCGGUAUUUCUGGGGUAGGGGCGAAAUCCUUUGAUCCCAGGAGGACCACCAGUGGCGAAGGCUGCUCACUAGAACACGCCUGACGGUCAGGGACGAAAGCUGGGGCAGCGAACCGGAUUAGAUACCCGGGUAGUCCCAGCUGUAAACGAUGCCAGCUAGGUGUUGGGUCGGCCACGCGCCGCCCCAGUGCCGCAGGGAAGCCGUUAAGCUGGCCACCUGGGGAGUACGGCCGCUAGGCUGAAACUUAAAGGAAUUGGCGGGGGAGCAC
RNAcentral lists this ribosomal RNA (563 nucleotides) under uncultured archaeon. RNAcentral's name for it is "bacterial SSU rRNA". It matches the Rfam family "Archaeal small subunit ribosomal RNA", at positions 314 to 879 of the family's 1478-position model. The record is from RNAcentral.